CUGUUACUAUCUAUCCAUCAUUCUUUGAAGAGUUAUUUUCUUCUUCUUCUUUUCCAUCUAUCCCUCAAACCUCUUUCUCUGUAUAUAUCUUCAUUUUCUAGCUUUUCCCAAGAAAGAAAAUAUUGAUCUACCUAUAUAUAUCUUCAUUUUCUUUUCUUCUUUGCCUUUUCUUUUCUUUUCUUUUUCCCGAGAACUAACUGGUUCUUGUAUUUCAGAUGUUUUAUGUUUUUCACUAAAUUCUUUUGCUGUAUUUGAUCUACCUAUAGGUUGCAGAAGAUCAUAGUUGGUGAUUUUGGCAUUACUAUGACAUGGAAAUUUUCUAUAAAUGCAUCAUUUUGUCAUAAUCUAAUCAGAGAAAUCAGACCCACAUAGCAAAAUCUGUGGAUUCUGAACUUACAUGGCUAGUUUUCUGUUUUUUUUUUUUUUGUGUGUGUUUUCUUUUUCCCAAUUUAUUUAUGAUUUAAUAUAUUAUAAAAUAUUUAUACAAUUUUUAAUGCCAAAACAUUGGUUUGGUUUUGUUGUCUUUGGUAGCUAAUAAGUUGAAGGUUGAGUUCAACACCAAGAGGGUUGGAUUCUUCUCGGGCAUCCCCUUCACGUAAUCCUUUUGGAAUUUAACCAGUGGUAACAGGCCACGUCAGAUUGUGCUCGUGGCUUUGUUGCUACAUUGGUUGAAGAAAAAAAAAAUCUUUAAUAAUCACAAAAUAUAUGAAAAUUUAGUUUGGAAAAAUAUUAUUUUGAUCGUCUUUGAAAAUUUGAAUCCCUAUAUAUACAUGGAGGAAGGAUCUUUAUGCAUGGAUUUAUAGAUUGACAGUCGUUGUUUGCGGGCGUAGCAUCAUCAAGAUUCACAUGCAAAUGCACGGUGGUGAUCCUCUCUCUCUUUCUCUCUUCAUCCCCAUGAACCAAAGUUAUUUGAAGUGAGAAUCUUGAUGAUGCUGCAUCGGCAAUAAACGACUAUACAAAAUGAAGAAUCAAACACAAACAGUUCAGAAAGAGAAAUGGAUCUUUGAGGUUGCUGACUUAGCAGAUCUAUGAUUAUUCUCCUCCUAGGAAACUACUCUGGGAUGCAAAUCGUAUCUUUCAUUAGUUUCUUCUUGCAGAUGUGAUGGGACUUCGUCAAAUAAUUUUCUCAAGAAAAUAGAGAGAAAGUCUUUAUGAUUCUUUAUUUGGAAAGGGAAAUUUUCCAAGCUUUUGCUGUGGAGGGUUUUGGCUCAUGAGGUGGCCAGUUUUUAAAUCAACAGAGAAUAAGGCAAGAAAAAAAAUUUUUAUAUUUAAAUCAAGUCUUUAUCUGAUUUUGUUGCUACAUGGAAGCAUGUUGAUGAUCUCAGCUAGAAUAGUUUACUGCAGUUUUGGGUUCUCCAUCUCACAAAAACCUUUCUCUUCACUAUAAAAUGAUUUUUUUUUUUUUCCAAAAAAAAGGUAUAAAAUACAUUUAUGGACAUUGAAAAAAGGGGAAAAAAAGAAAAAAAGAAAAAAAAGAACUGGAAGCUCUAUAUGAGAAAACUUUGAUAUCAGCAAAAUCUGAUGGUGGGAAGUGGAAACAUGUCACAUUGUCACUGCCAUUGCUGUAUUGGCUUUAGCAUUCAAUCACCCAUCACUCUUAUUUUUGGUGGACCAAUAAUAUUUUGCUUGCAACUUGUACUCUCUCUAUCUUGCCUUCAGUCCACCUAUUUUCUAAUAAUAAUAAUAAUACCAAUUAAUUUUUAAUUUCUUUUUUCUCUGUCAAAUGAUCUUGAUGAUUUCAUGAUAGUGAUGAUUCAGUAAUUUUUCAAGUUUGUGGAAAUCUGUGUGCCUCUAUCACUAUCCAAGCCUUGGAUCACACAUAUUGUGAUCUCCAUUACAGGGUAUAUUCCCUCAAUUAAUUUCUUCCCCACCAAUUGCAAUGAUUGAUGACCAAUAAUAUACUCAUCUAUUAAUUUUGAUUGAUUGUUUGUGAGUCUUGUUAGAAUUCUUACAAAGACUUGUUCUUUCCUAAGUGAAUUUCUUGAUUGCAUGCAGUGUAUGGUUUGAGUUUUUACUAUAUUCACAUUACUUGCAGUUGCUCUUAUAGCAUACAGGACAAUAAUUGAAUAAACCUUUACCUGCAAGAAUCUAAAAGAGCCAUAUAGGACAGCUUCUGAUCUUCAAUCAAAAUUCAGUAGUAGAUUUUUUUUUUCUCUCAAAGAUAUAUCUCAUUGAGCAUGCCUUAAAUCCUCCAACAAGGAGAUAACAAGAUUGAUUUGAGUCAGAGGAUUACAAUAGAAGAAAUCAUCUAAUAAACAUCUUUUAGGUAGAGUAUGGGCUAAAGACUCUUCUUCCCUUUUGACAUACCUAAAAAAAAUUUGGGAAGGUUGAUUUAGCCUGCUUUUAGGUGGAUGUGGUUUUGCUGAGUUUUUCUUAGUUAAUCAAUAAUUUCUUCCUAUUUCUGUUCAUUUUUUAACUUCAAUUCACAAAUCUUAAGAAGCAUAGUCUGCAACUCCAUUUUCUUUAAAGCUGUCUUCCCCAUCUCAAUUAAUAGGCUUCACCAAAUGGUUUGUUCUUUUUUAUUCAAAAAUUUUCCUAUAAUUUUAUUUGUUUUUUUUUCUUCAAAUUAAUUAAGUCCAGUUUUCAAGUAGGCACUGAGUCUCUUCUACUGCUUUUUCUUUGAAUCACAAUGGAGAAAAUUGAGAAAAAUAAAACAUACACCCCACUGCCAACUUCCCAGUUUUGCAGCAGCUCUAUUUGAUUUUUGUUUAUGCUAACUUUAGUACCAACAUAAUUUAUCUAUUUAUUAUUAUUAUUCUUUGACAGUAGAGUUUCAGCUGGUCAAAUACAAUAUCAUCAGAGGAGCACAGCACACAGGCGAUUGAGAAUCUAUAAAAGUUUUGGAAGGAACAUUAAGAAUAUUAGAAAAAAUAAAUUCAAGGGUUUGAAUCUGACAAUUAUUUUAGCUGGUUUGGAAUUGAGGUUAAUGAUAAUAGUUUUUGCUGAAUCUCCCUUUUGCAGAGAGAUGAAGAAAUUCAGUCAUGGGUAGAAGAAAUCAAAGCAUGGAAACUAAUAAAGAGGAAAGACAGUGCAGAAUUUUUGGGAAGUGUAAAGCAAUGGAUAUUUGAUCUUUUGGAGGAUAGUUUGAUUGAGAUUUUAACAAUGAAGAGUGGAAUGGGGAGGAGGAGAGAAGCGACGUGGAAGAAAAACUGGCCUUAAAAAGAUGUGACUAACUGGAGAAGAGGAUGGAUGAUUGAAAGGAACUGAUAAUGGAAAAAAGAAUC
Molecule: long non-coding RNA, 3224 nt
Organism: Manihot esculenta (cassava)
Lineage: Eukaryota; Viridiplantae; Streptophyta; Magnoliopsida; Malpighiales; Euphorbiaceae
Exons: 3
Source: RefSeq, a predicted model, not a curated record